Long non-coding RNA from Melozone crissalis (California towhee), 821 nucleotides. RefSeq lists it as uncharacterized. NCBI's taxonomy places the organism in Eukaryota, Metazoa, Chordata, Aves, Passeriformes, Passerellidae. The transcript has 3 exons. The record is from RefSeq and is a predicted model, not a curated record.
CACCUCUCGCGCGACGUCACGCGGCCGGGCCGGGCGGUGGCGGCGCGCGGGGAUGGAGCGGCCGCCGCUCGGCCGGUCUUUCUCCUCUACAAAGAAGCUUUGUUGCCAAGACUUACUCUGAAAAUGACCUAGAGUACCUACUGCAGAUGCCUGCAAGUGUAGAAGCUGAUAAAUCAUAUCUUCUUCCCUCCCCUGACUUUCCUGUUUCCUCUGGAAUUUAUACGUCUAAAUUUUUUUAAAGUUAAACGUCUGUUGAUGGCAUUUGAAUUACAACUGUGAGCAUACUUAUGCAAAGAGACAAGCUAUCCUGAGCACUUUUGAGUUCUCUUCAGUGGAGGGACUGCUGUGGGUCAGCCAUGCUAAAGGGCGUAUGAUGGAGGCAAGUACAAGUUUAUCCUUUCACUAUUGUCUAAUGUUGAUUUUGCCAGUUUUUCCUUUUGAACUGUUUUGUUUCCCAGGGCUUCUGGGAAAUAAUUGCACAAAUGAAGGGCUGUAUUAGAAUGUUCUGGGAUAUAAUAAUGUUGUAACGUCUGCUGAGUUGGCUGUAUAUGUAAUUGUGAAUUUUGUUCCUGAUGUAGUGUAUUCUUGUACAAAUAAGAAAUGUAUGUUUUUGAACUUUAUGGUAUAAAGUAUUGUUUCCUCCCACUAACAGAAUAUAAAAGUGGUUGUAAGUAGAGAAAACAAAAGUGGCCACAAAAGUUGAAUCCUUAUGAAAUAAGUGUGCUAAUCAAUUUUGAAGAUUCACAAUUCUUCACACUUAGAGUAUUUUUUUUCCUCAGAAGUAGAUACUAGAACAAAUAAAUACUGGUAAGGACCUUCAU